GAGGGUCUUGCCCCCGCUCACAGUAGCCAGUAAGCACAGGAGAACCACGCUUGACACCAACAUGAUUUCGGAGGUGAGCCUGAAGGAGCAAUGGAGAACAUUUGGAACUGUGGUGUAUGCCAGAAACCUUCUGAAUCAUCACACAAACACGCUGUAACGGCAUCUGUUACUCACCUCUCAGAGCUCCCAAAAACUUCUGCAGCCUCUCGGAUCUGUCGGCUUCCCCUGAC
Molecule: long non-coding RNA, 230 nt
Organism: Sinocyclocheilus anshuiensis
Lineage: Eukaryota; Metazoa; Chordata; Actinopteri; Cypriniformes; Cyprinidae
Exons: 3
Source: RefSeq, a predicted model, not a curated record